CACACAGACACACACCCCUAACAGCCAGCAGGGCCCUUGGACUCUGAGCCCUGACCCGAAGCUUGCCCUCCACAGGGAAUUCCACCCCCCCACCCCAACCCAAUCUGCCGGGCUGCCGGUUGAAAGCGCUGGGGAUGAUGGGGUGGGAUUGUUGGGGCAUAGACCAGGGUAUUUUCCUCCACCUGAGACCAGGUGAUGUAGAACGCAGAGAAAGGGCAGAACAAUGGUGCUCAGAGCUUCAGCGACGCCUCCAGGAGCUGAUUGGCUGUAAGCCGGGAACUGGGAACAAACGGAUGAAGGAAAGUUACGGGAAACACCGGAGCUGCUCUCCACGCUGAUGCUCUGCAGAGACGUUCAUUCAUCCGGAUGCAAACCCACGACAUGGUGCUAAGUGUCGGACAGAUCCGGUGACGGGAGGAGAUCUGGGAAAGGUGGCAGUCGGAACAUCCGAUCCUGCUUCCUGACAGCGUUCCAAGCAUCGCAGUGUCAUCUGCAUGAGAACUAUGCACGGACUUUGGUUCGAUCUGCGUGGUGAGACAGUUCUGAUCCUCCCUUUCCAGAUCCCAGCUUCUCCGGACCGGACAUGUGAAAAACCAACCAGCAGAUUCCAGAAUAUCCUAAACGAUCUAAUCCGUGCCUGUGAAACUGUGUUAUAUAACUUUCUGACCACCAGUAGCCUUUGCUGUCCGUCAGGCCCUCAGAUUACCAGAUUAUAGCUAAUGUUCAAUAAUCACAAGAUAUAACUGCAUGCUAUCCCAUAAUCGUCUAAAAAGCUGUUACCCAGGCGACCAGUGAGAAAAUGAAAAGGCAGACGUAGUCUUUCUCUUUUGUUUGAUCUCCAUGCCCUUCAUCCCUCCUCUUCAUCACUUCAUCCUGACUGGAAACAGCUGUUCUGACCAUGAUCACCCCCCGUUUGAAUCCAACAAUCUCCAGACAACCUCCUGCCCCCCCCCCCCCUCUCAAAAAAUUGACCAGCAGGCUUAGAAAUAUCCAUGACAACAUACCCCCCCCCCCCCCCCCCCCCCCAUUUUCCUGCAGGAGUCUGGAUCGAUGACCUUGGCCUUUUUCUGCAGCACUCAGCACAAUCUGGAAUCCCCCCCCCCCCCCCCCCAACAAACACACCUUCUCCUGCAGACCCUUCCCCCCCACCCAGGACUUCAAACAAGCCGCCUCCUCCAGGAUCAGACAGGUAGCAGCACCUGGGAGACCCCCCAGUCCAGGCCAGCCGGGUCGAUCGGUGCUCCAGCAGCAGCCUGUCGAUGCUGCUCGGCUCUUUGAAACUAAACCGUUUCUUCCACUUCAAUCUCAGAAACUUCACAGCAACAAACUUGAUGAAUCGACCCUUUUCCUGGAGGACAAAACUGGAAUCUGGAAUUUCCCUCGAAACGCCGAGAACCUCUGUUCUGGAACAAAUUUCUCUUCCAAUGUUCCAAAUAUCUGAACCUGAAGAGCCAAAUUCCUCACGUCUGAGCGAAAUAUAACAACUAAUCACGAGUUAACGAGUUCAGAUCAGAGAUUAUUUUAGUCAACCUUUAUUUAAACAGACAAGACAGAUUAAGAACAAAUUCUUCUUUCCAGCCUGGUGAGAGGAGGAAGAGAAAAAGUGUAAAAUGAAAAAUACAAAUUCAGAAAUGUACAAAAAAGACCCAGGGACGGGCCAGCACAUCAUUAUUAAUGAUUAAUUAAUAACAAAUAAGACUUUAUUCAAUGUUUAUUAAUGUCAGCAUUACAUGUUUUAAUAACUGAAAUAAAUGUAUAAUAGAGGAUUAUUUAUUAUGUUUCUACAUUUGAUUUGUGUUUUAUUAACUAAUGUUCACAACAUUUAUUCUAACAGGAAGUUUUCAUCUCGUGGUCGGUGGCCCUGAAUUCCACAGAAAUUAGUCAAAUGUCCAAUUUUCAGCACAGAAAAAUGGUUUUAUAAAAGAAAUCAAUCCUGAAAGUUUCUGAAAAAAUCAUUAAAAGCUUCUGUCAUUAUUUUUAGAUCAGUUUGAUUCUCCUCCGAGUUCACAUUUAUUCACUAGAAUUUACAUUAAUUAGUUGUAAAUCGCAUUAAUUCAAGCUAAUUUCCCUUUAUUUGAAUCAUAUUUAUUCAUGUUAAUUAACAACUUUAAUUCUUUAAUUAAGUCUCGUUAACUCAUUAAUUCACAGCAAUUCAUAAUAAUUCACAAAUAUGAAUUAAAAUCAAUGAAUGUUAAUUAACUUUAACAUUAAUUUACGUUGAGCAAUAAAAAAAGUCAUUUUCAACAAAUUUCUGUUUGACUGAAUUUUUUAUGAGUUUUUACUAUUUUUAGGAAUUUCAUACUUUUCAGCUCCAUUCAGGAAAAUAAAGAAACUUUCCACCUUAAAAACCACUUCCUGUCCGCGCGGACCAGGCCCCGCCCACUACGAAUAACCUGUCUGUGAUUGGUGGAUUCAGAUUUAUUCAGGUGACAGAUUGUUUAUAAAACUUGUAAACAUUCAAACAACAAACUCACCAGCUGGUGUGUUAAGAAAAGCAAACGAUCGAUCAGGUUGAUCCGAUCGAUCAGGUUGAAUCGAUCGAUCAGGUUGACCAGAAUCUCUCGCAACGUUUCCUGGAUCCUCUGGAGGUGAUGCUAAGUGCAGCUAAGCCAUGGCAACCUGGAGGAAGGAUAGCGUUAGCCGCUAGUGGCCUGAGCCCCACAUUCAUUUCCCAUCAUCCCGUUUGAACUGCCCCAAUCAGCAUGGUAACCAGACCUCACCCCCCACCCACCCUCCCACCCACGCCUCACUCAGAACUGAUGAAACCUUGUGCCUCGACAACUCUUUUAUGAGCGCUGCAGCGUUUUGUGCCGAGCCGGGCCCAUGCCCUGGUGUCUCCAGUGGUUCAGUGGAACCAGUUUCCAUUAGUGGGCCAUCCUGUGUGUUCUGGAGCCGUCUCCAUUGUCCUGCUUUGGUUUCUGUAUCAGUUUACCCUUUUCUCUCUGCCCAUUAGAGACUCCAUUUUCACGCAGACUCAGUUUACUGGAAGUAUGAUGUGCAUUUCCUAUGCAACGAUUAAAAUAAAGACACUAACGCUC
This is a long non-coding RNA of Melanotaenia boesemani (Boeseman's rainbowfish), 3038 nucleotides long. RefSeq lists it as uncharacterized. The record is from RefSeq and is a predicted model, not a curated record. Lineage: Eukaryota; Metazoa; Chordata; Actinopteri; Atheriniformes; Melanotaeniidae. The transcript is spliced from 2 exons.